AAUAAGAAAUCAAUUGUUUAGCGAUGACGAUAGUAAUAUAAACGUUAAAAAUAAUAAUUAUUCUAAACGGGUAAUGAAUGUAAUAAAUAAUAGUGAUGGUUAUAUACAUUCAAAAGAUAUAAACACAAGAGAGAUACAAAAUACAAAUGAUAGUUUAUUUUUUAAUCAAAAAAAAAGGAAAAUAGAAGAUACAGUUUUAGAGAAUAAUACAAUAGUUAGAUCUUUCGUAAAUAAUAGUAUACAUUAUCUAAAAGAAGAUAGCGGAAAAAAUAAAAUAAAAAAUUUUGAAAAGGAUUUAUAUAUUAAUGAAAGUAAUAACAGUACUAUUAGUGAAGGUAACAUUCAUAGUAAUAUAUUAGAAGAAAUCGGAUCUUACGAUUCAGAAAGAUAUAAUGAGAUUAUGAAAAAAGAAGUAAGUUUACUUAAAAAAGGAAUUGACUUAAAUAUAAUUUAUUCAGAUGAUAAUAAUGGUAUGUUACGAGUUAAUAAAAUAAAAAAAGAAAUGGACAUACGUAUAAAAAAAAAAGUAAAUAAUAAUAAUAAUAAUAAUAAUAAUAAUAAUAAUAAUAAUAAUNNNNNNNNNNAUAAUAAUAAUAAUAAUAAUAAUAAUAAUAAUAAUAAUAAUAAUAAUUAUAAUAAUAAAUUAAAAGUUAUAACUAAUUUUAUUAAUCCAAGAAAACACGAAACAAAAGAUCAAUUGGGACAAAUUAAAACAAUAAAAGAUGUUAAUAACAAUAACAACUACAACAGUAGUAGUAGUAAUAAUAAAGAAUUAUAUUUAAAUAUAAAUUUAAAAAAAAAUUUGAAAUUAAUUAAAGACAUGUUUAUUAAUUUAUCACAAAAGAGAAAGUUAAAAUAUGGUAACGACAGUAAUAACUACACAUUGAAAAAUAGUUUAAUGUUUAUAAAUGAAAAAAAAAAUAACCCUUGUCGAUUUGAUUGGUUCCAAAAUGAUUAUAUAUAUUUUUUAAAAAGUAAGGAAAAUAACGGAUAUUAUAUAUCCAACAUCAGUGGAAUGUAUGAACUGUUCAUUUUGGUAACAAAAGAAUUAAAGAUUUUCGAUUCAUACGACUUUGCUUGGUUUUUAAAAAAAUAUAAAUUAAUAACUAUGUCACUAGUUCGUAAAUAUAGAAAAGAGUUAAAGAAAAAAUAUGAAUUUAUAAAAGAAAAUGUAAAGGAUAAAAAUGAAGAAGGUGUAUAUAAGAGUGUUUCUUUGCAUAAUAAAAUUUCUGUGCAUAAUAAAAUAGAUAAUUGUCUUGUUAAUAAUUGUCCUGUUAAUAAUUGUCCUGUUAAUAAUUGUCCUGNNNNNNNNNNUGUUAAUAAUUGUCCUGUUAAUAAUUGUCCUGUUAAUAAUUGUCCUGUUAAUAAUGGUUUUUAUGAAGUUAUUGGUAACACUAUAAAUAAUAAGAACAUAUUAUCCACAUGUAAUAACAUAAAGAAAGAAGAAUCUGAGAAAAUAAAAGAACCAAUGUAUGAUACGAUAAUUAUAAAAAGUAUUGAUGAAGUAAAUCCUCCUUCACCAAUUGAAUUUACUUUUAAAUUAUUAAAAAGAUAUAUAGAAGAGAAAAAGAAAAAAAAAAGUGUGUUACAAUUAAUAAAAGAAAAUAUGAUUCAAUAUACAGUAGCGUUAAAUUUACGAAUUGAAAAAAUUAUAAAAAAAAGAGAUGAAGAAUAUAUACUAAUUUUAAGUGAUAAUUUUGAUUAUAUAUAUUGUUUCAUAAAAGAUACUUAUUUAAUUAAUUUAAUACUUUCAAAUGUAAUUAAAGAAAGUUAUAUAUUAAAAAUUAACUCAUUGGAUUUAUAUGAAAAAAAAACAAAUGAUGAAAAUGAACUUAUAAAUACAGACAUAAAUACAGACAUAAAUACAGAUGUAAAUGCAAAUGUAAAUGCAAAUGUAAAUGCAGAUGUAAAUGCAGAUGUAAAUGCAGAUGUAAAUGCAGACGUAAAUACAUAUGAAAAUACAUAUGAAAAUAAUGUAAUGAAGUUUUAUUUAUCUAGUAAUAAUUUAAUUGAUAUAAAUAAAAAAAAUGAAUUAAAAAUUGGUAUAUCCAAAUAUAAAUCAAAAAGAAUAAAAAAUAUAGAAGAUUUUGGUAAUAACUGUUUUUUUAUUGAUGUUAUAAUUAUAAGUAAAAGUGAUUUGUCAUAUGGAUAUUAUGACACAACAUUAAAUAAAUAUUUUAUUUUAAAUAAUAAUAUAUAUGAAAAAAUUGUAUAUAAUUUACAAAACGAACUAGCCAAAAUAGCACAUGAAGAUGAUUUUAACGAAAAUAGUAAAUAUACAAAAUUAAAAAAUGAACUGUUAAUGCUUCGUGAUGCAACACCUUUAUUUACAAUACAGGCGAUUGAUAUUGCUUAUUUUGAACAAAUAAAAAAAGCAACUUCUUUCGAUGAUGAAAUAGAGUAUAUAAUGAAUUCGUUGUGUCAGGUGAAGAUAUUUAAGAUUGACCAGGAGACAUACGAAAACACAAAAACAGGUAGCCGAAUACAACUGUUCAACGUUCAUGUUAAAGAAUCUAAUAAAUCUAAUAAAUUCGUUUCAUUGAUAAAUGAGCAUGACUAUAAUAAUUUUUUGUAUAAUAAUUUGCAAGGAGGUAAAAAAAAAGAUUAUAUCAUGAAAAAUUCAUUAAAUUAUAAUACAUUUAUUUCAAUGUUUUUAAAAGAGGAAAAUGAAAAGAGUAACAACAAAAACGAUAGUAAUAACAUGAAUAAUAAUACUCAUUAUUUUUAUGAUUAUGAUAAAUUUUUUAAAUUUUUUAACCGACGUGCGUUGAAUUAUACACCGGUUGUUUUUGACGCAACUUGUUCAACAUACAUAAAUAUUGAUAUUAAAUAUAAAAAUAAAUUGUUCCAAGAGUUAGAGAAUAUUUUAACUAUAAUACAAAAUGAACAAAAAAAUGGAGAACAAAAUGAACUAAAUGAAAAUAGCAACGUAUUAGUGAAUGAGAAUGUAUCAGAGGGUAAAGUCAAGUUAGAGGGUAAAGACACGUUAGAGGGUAAUGACACGUUAGAAGGUAAUGACAUGUCAGAAAUUAAAGAACUAUCAGAAAGUAUAGCCAUUCCAAAAAAUAAAAACCAUAAUAAAAUAUACCCUUCUUUUAUUUAUACGAAUAUAUUUAAGAUACCCGUUUUAUCAACAAUCCAUAUGAAUAUUCUUAAAAAAUAUGUACAAUUAAAUAAAAACACAAAAAAUAUAUUUUAUGAUUUAACACAAGGGAGUUUUUAUAACAUCUCUGGAAUGGUUAUUCAUUACACAGAAUUCGAAAUAAAAGGAAUAUCGGAUAACAAUUCUAGUGAAAGUAAUAAAAGCAAAUUAAGUUAUAAAAUUUUUUUUUUAACUUCUAAUUUGCAUUUGUGUUGUAUAAACGUUUCUAUGACAACUUCUGAUUUUUGGCUUUCAAAUUAUAAAAAAAAUUUUGAGUGUAAGGAAAAGGAAAUACUUAGGAGAAUGAUUUAUGUACGAAAGAACAAAGACACAAAUAAAGAUCAAAAUUAUGAAAUUAAAAAAAAUUGUAAAUAUAAAAAUAACAAUAUGAACAGGACUAAUCAUUAUAAUAAAAAUAAUACCGUAUUUAAUUAUUUAUACAAAAGUGAGACAACAAAUAAUAAUGAGCGAGACAUUGAUGAGGAAGAAGAGCUACUAAAAAAUAUAGAUAUAUUUAUAUUUUUUAAAAACGCACUGUUUAUAAAUUAUGAUAAAAAGCAUGACAUAUUUAACUUCCAAUCGUACUACCACCCGGAAUUUCGUACUUUAAAACAGUAUUCAAAUGAAUUUUGUUACAUUAAAAACGACAUGGCACAAUUAAUGAGAGAUGAAUAUCUUAUGUUAAAAAGUAAUAAACUUGUAGUGAAAUUAAAAGAAAAGGAAAAAUCAAAAAUUGAAAAAAAAAAUUUAUCUUGCAUGUAUUUUUUAUACAUAAUAAUUUACGCAAAGAAUAAAUCUAUAGAAUUAACUGGAUCAUCCAUAGAAAACAAUUAUUUAUUUACAUUUUUAAGAAAUACGUACAAAUAUAUGUUUUAAAUAAAUACUUAUAAAAAAAAAGUUGUACUUUUUUUUUUUUUUUUUCUUUAAUUAAAUUUUAACAUAUUUUUACAUAACAAUGUCUGUAAUUUUCCAAAUAUAUUUUUUACCUUUGUAUUGAGCAAAUUUGUUUAGUUAAAAAAAAUAUAUAUAUAUUAUAUAUAUAUAUAUGAGGGAAAAAUAGUAGCUAGCUACAUUUCAAAGUUUUGCACUUUUUUAAUGUAGCUAUAUAUUUUUUUUUAUUCCACUAAUAUAUUUAUAGUAAACUAAAAUAUAGGAUUUGAUUAUAUUACCUAUAAUUGUAAAAUUGUUAUUUUAUUUUCUUUAAUUAUAUAAAUUAAAAAAAAAUUGUAUUAAAAUGUAUUUAAAUGUUUUUUUUACCAAACUAUACACACAUAUAUAUAUAUAUAUAUAUAUAUAUAUAUAUUUUUAUUAAAUGAAUUAAGUCACAAGAGAUGAUAUUCAUAAAUUGUAAAAAAAAAAUAACUAAUUAAAUAAAACUGUAAAAAUAAGAAAGUGUUAAAUAUAU
RNAcentral lists this long non-coding RNA (4547 nucleotides) under Piliocolobus tephrosceles (Ugandan red Colobus). Its description in RNAcentral is "lncRNA (ENSPTEG00000017198.1)". The record is from RNAcentral. Lineage: Eukaryota; Metazoa; Chordata; Mammalia; Primates; Cercopithecidae.